CCUACGGGGGGCAGCAGUGGGGAAUAUUGGACAAUGGGGGGAACCCUGAUCCAGCCAUGCCGCGUGUGUGAAGAAGGCCCUCGGGUUGUAAAGCACUUUCAGUGAGGAAGAACGCCUGGUGGUUAAUACCCAUCAGGAAAGACAUCACUCACAGAAGAAGCACCGGCUAACUCCGUGCCAGCAGCCGCGGUAAUACGGAGGGUGCGAGCGUUAAUCGGAAUUACUGGGCGUAAAGCGCGCGUAGGUGGCUUGAUAGCCGGUUGUGAAAGCCCCGGGCUCAACCUGGGAACGGCAUCCGGAACUGUCAAGCUAGAGUGCAGGAGAGGAAGGUAGAAUUCCCGGUGUAGCGGUGAAAUGCGUAGAGAUCGGGAGGAAUACCAGUGGCGAAGGCGGCCUUCUGGACUGACACUGACACUGAGGUGCGAAAGCGUGGGUAGCAAACAGGAUUAGAUACCCUAGUAGUC
RNAcentral lists this ribosomal RNA (464 nucleotides) under Vreelandella stevensii. RNAcentral's name for it is "partial 16S ribosomal RNA". It matches the Rfam family "Bacterial small subunit ribosomal RNA", at positions 338 to 795 of the family's 1533-position model. Lineage: Bacteria; Pseudomonadati; Pseudomonadota; Gammaproteobacteria; Oceanospirillales; Halomonadaceae. The record is from RNAcentral.